UCCCAAGUCCGGUAACUCUGUGGCAGGU
This 28-nucleotide non-coding RNA is filed under the name Mus musculus (house mouse). Lineage: Eukaryota; Metazoa; Chordata; Mammalia; Rodentia; Muridae. The record is from RNAcentral.